AGGACGAACGCUGGCGGCGUGCCUAAUACAUGCAAGUCGAACGGCUUUUCUAUGGAAGCUUGCUUCCACUGAAAAGAUAGUGGCGAACGGGUGAGUAACACGUGGGUAACCUGCCCAUAAGAGGGGGAUAACAUCCGGAAACGGGUGCUAAUACCGCAUAGUUUUCUUGAUCGCAUGAUCGGGAAAGGAAAGACGGCCUCUGUGCUGUCGCUUAUGGAUGGACCCGCGGCGUAUUAGUUAGUUGGUGAGGUAACGGCUCACCAAGACGAUGAUACGUAGCCGACCUGAGAGGGUGAUCGGCCACAUUGGGACUGAGACACGGCCCAAACUCCUACGGGAGGCAGCAGUAGGGAAUCUUCCGCAAUGGACGAAAGUCUGACGGAGCAACGCCGCGUGAGUGAAAGAAGGUUUUCGGAUCGUAAAACUCUGUUGUCAGAGAAGAACAAGUCGGAGAGUAACUGCUCCAGCCUUGACGGUAUCUGACCAGAAAGCCACGGCUAACUACGUGCCAGCCGCCGC
RNAcentral lists this ribosomal RNA (519 nucleotides) under uncultured bacterium. RNAcentral's name for it is "bacterial SSU rRNA". It matches the Rfam family "Bacterial small subunit ribosomal RNA", at positions 26 to 518 of the family's 1533-position model. The record is from RNAcentral.